This 468-nucleotide ribosomal RNA is filed under the name uncultured bacterium. Its description in RNAcentral is "partial 16S ribosomal RNA". It matches the Rfam family "Bacterial small subunit ribosomal RNA", at positions 28 to 507 of the family's 1533-position model. The record is from RNAcentral.
GACGAACGCUGGCGGCGUGCUUAACACAUGCAGGUCGAACGGAAAGGCCCUGCUUUUGUGGGGUGCCCGAGUGGCGAACGGGUGAGUAACACGUGAGUAACCUGCCCUUGACUUUGGGAUAACUUCAGGAAACUGGGGCUAAUACCGGAUAGGAGCUCCUGCUGCAUGGUGGGGGUUGGAAAGUUUCGGCGGUUGGGGAUGGACUCGCGGCUUAUCAGCUUGUUGGUGGGGUAGUGGCUUACCAAGGCUUUGACGGGUAGCCGGCCUGAGAGGGUGACCGGCCACAUUGGGACUGAGAUACGGCCCAGACUCCUACGGGAGGCAGCAGUGGGGAAUAUUGCACAAUGGGCGGAAGCCUGAUGCAGCAACGCCGCGUGCGGGAUGACGGCCUUCGGGUUGUAAACCGCUUUCGCCUGUGACGAAGCGUGAGUGACGGUAAUGGGUAAAGAAGCACCGGCUAACUACGUG